AGGACGAACGCUGGCGGCGUGCCUAACACAUGCAAGUCAAGGCGGUAGCAAUACCGACUGGCGCACGGGUGCGGAACACGUAGGCAAUCUGCCCAUCAGGGGGAGAACAACUCACCGAAAGGUGAGCUAAAUCUCCGUAACAUCUUAUCAUGGCAUCAUGAUUUGAUCAAGCUUUCUGAUGGAUGAGCCUGCGUCUGAUUAGCUAGUUGGUAGUGUAACGGACUACCAAGGCUACGAUCAGUAGCUGGUCU
RNAcentral lists this ribosomal RNA (251 nucleotides) under uncultured soil bacterium. RNAcentral's name for it is "partial 16S ribosomal RNA". It matches the Rfam family "Bacterial small subunit ribosomal RNA", at positions 26 to 293 of the family's 1533-position model. The record is from RNAcentral.